GUGAGAGAGGACCUGGCAAUGAUUUAGUGUUCAGUUUAAAGGAGAAGAUGGAAGCAAAUACAAGGAUUUGAGAUUAUUGGCUGCACAAGCAUCACCAUCAAUAACAAUUCCACUAUGUGAUACACUGCGAAAAUUGGUAGGUUUCUGGUACAUGAUGGAGAGCCAUUGGCCAAUGAGUUGGAAGAAUCCAAGAAAAUGAUCAAGAUCAUUUCACCAUCCGAAGAAUUAGGAAAGAACAUUGGAAAAGUAUCAAAGGAGUCCCUGAAGCAACUGAGAAUUUAGCAUAUUAAAGAAACAAAAAUAAGAGCAGUGUGAUUAAAAUAAAGUCAGAAA
This 333-nucleotide long non-coding RNA is filed under the name Fukomys damarensis (Damara mole-rat). Its description in RNAcentral is "lncRNA (ENSFDAG00000022722.1)". Lineage: Eukaryota; Metazoa; Chordata; Mammalia; Rodentia; Bathyergidae. The record is from RNAcentral.